RNAcentral lists this transfer RNA (74 nucleotides) under Candidatus Woesearchaeota archaeon. Its description in RNAcentral is "tRNA-Ala". It matches the Rfam family "tRNA". From Rfam's summary of the family: Transfer RNA (tRNA) molecules are approximately 80 nucleotides in length. Their secondary structure includes four short double-helical elements and three loops (D, anti-codon, and T loops). Further hydrogen bonds mediate the characteristic L-shaped molecular structure. tRNAs have two regions of fundamental functional importance: the anti-codon, which is responsible for specific mRNA codon recognition, and the 3' end, to which the tRNAs corresponding amino acid is attached (by aminoacyl-tRNA synthetases). tRNAs cope with the degeneracy of the genetic code in two manners: having more than one tRNA (with a specific anti-codon) for a particular amino acid; and 'wobble' base-pairing, i.e. permitting non-standard base-pairing at the 3rd anti-codon position. Lineage: Archaea; Nanobdellati; Candidatus Woesearchaeota. The record is from RNAcentral.
GGGCUGGUAGUUAAACCUGGUUACAACGUCCGGCUGGCAGCCGGGUGGUCCGAGUUCAAAUCUCGGCCAGUCCA